Molecule: ribosomal RNA, 256 nt
Filed under: uncultured bacterium
Lineage: Bacteria
Description: partial 16S ribosomal RNA
Rfam family: Bacterial small subunit ribosomal RNA
Source: RNAcentral
UACGUAGGGGGGCAAGCGUUUGUCCGGAAUCAUUGGGCGUAAAGAGCGCGUAGGCGGCCCAGUAAGUCCGCUCUGAAAGUCAGGGGCUCAACCCCUGGAUGCGGGUGGAUACUGCUGGGCUAGAGUCCGGAAGAGGCGAGUGGAAUUCCUGGUGUAGCGGUGAAAUGCGCAGAUAUCAGGAGGAACACCGAUGGCGAAGGCAGCUCACUGGCCCGGUACUGACGCUGAGGUGCGAAAGCGUGGGGGAGCAAACAGG